RNAcentral lists this ribosomal RNA (254 nucleotides) under uncultured bacterium. RNAcentral's name for it is "partial 16S ribosomal RNA". It matches the Rfam family "Bacterial small subunit ribosomal RNA", at positions 524 to 776 of the family's 1533-position model. The record is from RNAcentral.
UACGAAGGGGGCUAGCGUUGCUCGGAAUCACUGGGCGUAAAGCGCACGUAGGCGGAUUGCUAAGUCAGGGGGUGAAAUCCUGGAGCUCAACUCCAGAACUGCCUUUGAUACUGGCGAUCUUGAGUCCGGGAGAGGUGAGUGGAACUGCGAGUGUAGAGGUGAAAUUCGUAGAUAUCGCAAGAACACCAGUGGCGAAGGCUGGCUCACUGGCCCGGUACUGACGCUGAGGCGCGAAAGCGUGGGGAGCAAACAGG